GAGUGGCGAACGGGUGAGUAACACGUGGGAAACCUACCUCUUAGCAGGGGAUAACAUUUGGAAACAGAUGCUAAUACCGUAUAACAAUGACAACCGCAUGGUUGUUAUUUAAAAGAUGGUUCUGCUAUCACUAAGAGAUGGUCCCGCGGUGCAUUAGCUAGUUGGUAAGGUAAUGGCUUACCAAGGCGAUGAUGCAUAGCCGAGUUGAGAGACUGAUCGGCCACAAUGGGACUGAGACACGGCCCAUACUCCUACGGGAGGCAGCAGUAGGGAAUCUUCCACAAUGGGCGAAAGCCUGAUGGAGCAACGCCGCGUGUGUGAUGAAGGGUUUCGGCUCGUAAAACACUGUUGUAAGAGAAGAAUGACAUUGAGAGUAACUGUUCAAUGUGUGACGGUAUCUUACCAGAAAGGAACGGCUAAAUACGUGCCAGCAGCCGCGGUAAUACGUAUGUUCCAAGCGUUAUCCGGAUUUAUUGGGCGUAAAGCGAGCGCAGACGGUUAUUUAAGUCUGAAGUGAAAGCCCUCAGCUCAACUGAGGAAUUGCUUUGGAAACUGGAUGACUUGAGUGCAGUAGAGGAAAGUGGAACUCCAUGUGUAGCGGUGAAAUGCGUAGAUAUAUGGAAGAACACCAGUGGCGAAGGCGGCUUUCUGGACUGUAACUGACGUUGAGGCUCGAAAGUGUGGGUAGCAAACAGGAUUAGAUACCCUGGUAGUCCACACCGUAAACGAUGAGUGCUAGGUGUUUGAGGGUUUCCGCCCUUAAGUGCCGCAGCUAACGCAUUAAGCACUCCGCCUGGGGAGUACGACCGCAAGGUUGAAACUCAAAGGAAUUGACGGGGACCCGCACAAGCGGUGGAGCAUGUGGUUUAAUUCGAAGCAACGCGAAGAACCUUACCAGGUCUUGACAUCCCUUGACAACUCCAGAGAUGGAGCGUUCCCUUCGGGGACAAGGUGACAGGUGGUGCAUGGUUGUCGUCAGCUCGUGUCGUGAGAUGUUGGGUUAAGUCCCGCAACGAGCGCAACCCUUAUUACUAGUUGCCAGCAUUCAGUUGGGCACUCUAGUGAGACUGCCGGUGACAAACCGGAGGAAGGUGGGGAUGACGUCAAAUCAUCAUGCCCCUUAUGACCUGGGCUACACACGUGCUACAAUGGCGUAUACAACGAGUUGCCAACCCGCGAGGGUGAGCUAAUCUCUUAAAGUACGUCUCAGUUCGGAUUGUAGGCUGCAACUCGCCUACAUGAAGUCGGAAUCGCUAGUAAUCGCGGAUCAGCACGCCGCGGUGAAUACGUUCCCGGGUCUUGUACACACCGCCCGUCACACCAUGAGAGUUUGUAACACCCAAAGCCGGUGGGGUAACCUUCGGGAGCCAGCCGUCUAAGG
This 1381-nucleotide ribosomal RNA is filed under the name Weissella confusa. RNAcentral's name for it is "16S ribosomal RNA". It matches the Rfam family "Bacterial small subunit ribosomal RNA", at positions 93 to 1462 of the family's 1533-position model. RNAcentral also lists the same sequence under 1 other name. The record is from RNAcentral. Lineage: Bacteria; Bacillati; Bacillota; Bacilli; Lactobacillales; Lactobacillaceae.